This 283-nucleotide ribosomal RNA is filed under the name uncultured Prevotella sp. Its description in RNAcentral is "partial 16S ribosomal RNA". It matches the Rfam family "Bacterial small subunit ribosomal RNA", at positions 355 to 634 of the family's 1533-position model. The record is from RNAcentral. Lineage: Bacteria; Pseudomonadati; Bacteroidota; Bacteroidia; Bacteroidales; Prevotellaceae.
UGAGGAAUAUUGGGUCAAUGGGCGAGAGCCUGAACCAGCCAAGUAGCGUGCAGGAUGACGGCCCUAUGGGUUGUAGACUGCUUUUAUAAGGGAAUAAAGUGAGAGUCGUGACUCUCUUUGCAUGUACCUUAUGAAUAAGGACCGGCUAAUUCCGUGCCAGCAGCCGCGGUAAUACGGAAGGUCCGGGCGUUAUCCGGAUUUAUUGGGUUUAAAGGGAGCGUAGGCCGGAGAUUAAGCGUGUUGUGAAAUGUAGACGCUCAACGUCUGCACUGCAGCGCGAACU